CCCUUAGACGUUCUGGGCCGCACGCGCGCUACACUGACGAAGGCAACGAGCUUUCCUUUACCGAAAGGUACGGGUAAUCUUUUGAAACUUCGUCGUGCUGGGGAUAGAUCCUUGCAAUUUUUGAUCUUAAACGAGGAAUUCCUAGUAAGCGCAAGUCAUCAACUUGCGUUGAUUACGUCCCUGCCCUUUGUACACACCGCCCGUCGCUACUACCGAUUGAAUGGUUUAGUGAGGCCUUCGGAUCCGCGACUCGUUUUGUGGAGAAGUUGGACAAACUCAGUCAUUUAGAGGAAGUAAAAGCCGUAACA
Molecule: ribosomal RNA, 308 nt
Filed under: uncultured eukaryote
Lineage: Eukaryota
Description: partial 18S ribosomal RNA
Rfam family: Eukaryotic small subunit ribosomal RNA
Source: RNAcentral